CCUACGGGAGGCAGCAGUGAGGAAUAUUGGUCAAUGGCCGAGAGGCUGAACCAGCCAAGUCGCGUGAGGGAAGACGGCCCUACGGGUUGUAAACCUCUUUUGUCGGGGAGCAAAGCGAACCACGUGUGGUUCAUUGAGAGUACCCGAAGAAAAAGCAACGGCUAACUCCGUUCCAGUAGCCGCGGUAAUACGGAGGAUGCGAGCGUUAUCCGGAUUUAGUGGGUUGAAAGGGUGCGCAGGCGGAGGUGCAAGUCAGCGGUCAAAUUGCGGGGCUCAACCCCGUACUGCCGUUGAAACUGCAUGCCUUGAGUGCGCGAGAGGUAUGCGGAAUGCGUGGUGGAGCGGUGAAAUGCGUAGAUAUCACGCAGAACUCCGAUUGCGAAGGCAGCAUACCGGCGCGCGACUGACGCUCAUGCACGAAAGCGUGGGUAUCGAACAGGAUUAGAUACCCGAGUAGUC
Molecule: ribosomal RNA, 459 nt
Filed under: uncultured bacterium
Lineage: Bacteria
Description: partial 16S ribosomal RNA
Rfam family: Bacterial small subunit ribosomal RNA
Source: RNAcentral